AUCCACGUUAAUUUUCACUUUAACCCCAAAAUUUAUAUACCGCCAUUUUAAGAAUCAAUUUAAAAAUUUCUCUCUUAAUAAAUUAUAAAAAAUUAGGUCAAGGUGUAAUCUAUAUUAAAGAAUAAAAUGAAUUACAUUAAAUAAUAUUUAAAGAUUAUUUAUAAAUAUAUAAACAUAAAUAAGAAUUUAAAAGUAAUAUAAUAAUAAUAAUAUUAUAUGAUAAAGACAAUAAAUGUGCACACAUCGCCC
RNAcentral lists this ribosomal RNA (249 nucleotides) under Pireneitega sp. ZZ667. Its description in RNAcentral is "partial 12S ribosomal RNA". The record is from RNAcentral. Lineage: Eukaryota; Metazoa; Arthropoda; Arachnida; Araneae; Agelenidae.